GUGGAAAAAACAGAGGAGCACAUUUUCCACCUCGUUCUACUUGACCCAGCAGACCGAGCUGAGCUCCAGGAGUGACACACAUCUGAAAUGAGCUGUGAGGUGCAGCCGUGCUCUCCCUAGCACUCAGGAAGCCCAGUGCUGGGGCACAGCUGUGGGACAGGAGCUGACGCCCGUGCCCGGCUGAUGAAGCGAAGGGACCGUGUGCUGCUGGCUCUGAAGUGAAAACAAUCACUCUGAAAUCUCAGAGCUUCCUUAGAAAUGUAAAAGAAUGGGGUGGGAGCAUAAGUUAAUUGUGCUUUUUCACACUGUUAUGCUUGUCACCGUGCCAGACUCUACAUUUCUUCCAAGGGUGAAA
Molecule: long non-coding RNA, 355 nt
Organism: Numida meleagris (helmeted guineafowl)
Lineage: Eukaryota; Metazoa; Chordata; Aves; Galliformes; Numididae
Exons: 2
Source: RefSeq, a predicted model, not a curated record